UCUCUUGAGUGAGUAGAGAGGAAAAAGAAGAGAGAGGAAGAGAGAACUUGUAAUAGUUUGGUAUUCUCCUCAUAGUGAAAACCCCCUCCUGUGAACGUAGGCAAGUUUGCCGAACCACGUAAAUCUGUUGUCUUGUCUUUUACUGAGAGUUGGUAUUGCUUAUAGGUUCCCUCGACAAGUCAGUCCUAUACUGAUGAGAGGUUGAGCUGGAACAAGAGUUGGCCAUUGCUUGUUGGAUCCAUCGACAUUCAGUCCUAGAACUGCUGAGAGGAAGAGUGUAUAUCUCACUUUGUUGAGAUAUUUAACUUUCUAUUCCUGUUUCCUUUGAGAAACAAGAAUAUAGAGGUUGACUUGUGCUUUCGUGAAAACGAAAGUCAGGGCUAUCUCUCAGGUGCUAUCGCUUCCGCGGCGUGAGGGCUUAACUCCGCCCCCAACAAACUACCUUAGGGCUUGCCUACUCGAAUAGAAGUGUGCAAUAUCUUGUUGUACACCAUCUAAACUAUAGCUCCCCGGGAAUUUCCUGUUUCUCAUUUUGGUGUCAGUUUAUAUGUUUGCUAAUACUUGGUAAUAUCGUUCAGUGCUCUAAUGUGGGGAUGGAUUAUGAUUCUGAUAUCGUAAACACUAAGCACAAUGUGGAGCUAGUAAGGUUCUUGUCAUUUAGCCUACUCUUGUUUACCUUAAAGGUAAGUGCGCUAUGUACCCAUGUCAUACAUAUGUAGGACACACUCACUUGCCCAACGGUGCCUCAACAUUUUUGGACACAUGGGAACCUAGUCGCUAAAAGCAAAUAAUUGGGAACCUGGCUUUGUUGAACCAUGAUCCUUGAAAAUGCAACAAGAUGUUCCUUCAACAUGCCAGAAUAUGGCUGCUCUGUGCACAUGCGUAUGCUUCUCUGCUUGCCGAGGUUAAGUGACCGAUGAUAGGAAGAAUGUCCUCAGUUCUUGCACGGAAGCCAAACGACUUCUGAAGCCAGACCCUAGGUACACUAAGAUGCGUAGAAAAGAAAGGGAGUCUCUCUGGAUCAGAUACUCUGACGACAUGAUCAGGAAGCAGAAACCAGCAGCUGACGCCGAAGAGAAAUCAGAUAGAGGAGGUAAAGAUAAAUCAUCGAGGAGGUCCCAUGGCUGGAGUAACUAACAGCGGAGGGAGCUCAUCUUUCUGGGAUUCGAUCUGUAUUAGCUUCCCCCUAGCACCAUUUUCCCUUGAAAGGUUAGCAGGUCGUUUCUUAGCAUCACUGAUUUGUAUUACAUCAACCAAAUGAGGGGUAUGGUGUAGAUUGUAGUGUACAAAAAGUGUUAUGUCAUGGCCUUGUUCUUCAUUGCUCUGCGUUUGCUGGUGAUAUCUUUAAUUGCAGAUGUUUUAUGCUGC
Asparagus officinalis (garden asparagus) is the source of this 1368-nucleotide long non-coding RNA. RefSeq lists it as uncharacterized. The transcript has 2 exons. NCBI's taxonomy places the organism in Eukaryota, Viridiplantae, Streptophyta, Magnoliopsida, Asparagales, Asparagaceae. The record is from RefSeq and is a predicted model, not a curated record.